AGAGUUUGAUCCUGGCUCAGGAUGAAGCGCUGGCGGCGUGCUUAACACAUGCAAGUCGAACGGGAUCCAUCAGGCUUUGCUUGGUGGUGAGAGUGGCGAACGGGUGAGUAAUGCGUGACCGACCUGCCCCAUACACCGGAAUAGCUCCUGGAAACGGGUGGUAAUGCCGGAUGCUCCAGUUGAUCGCAUGGUCUUCUGGGAAAGCUUUCGCGGUAUGGGAUGGGGUCGCGUCCUAUCAGCUUGACGGCGGGGUAACGGCCCACCGUGGCUUCGACGGGUAGCCGGCCUGAGAGGGCGACCGGCCACAUUGGGACUGAGAUACGGCCCAGACUCCUACGGGAGGCAGCAGUGGGGAAUAUUGCACAAUGGGCGCAAGCCUGAUGCAGCGACGCCGCGUGAGGGAUGGAGGCCUUCGGGUUGUAAACCUCUUUUAUCGGGGAGCAAGCGAGAGUGAGUUUACCCGUUGAAUAAGCACCGGCUAACUACGUGCCAGCAGCCGCGGU
RNAcentral lists this ribosomal RNA (503 nucleotides) under Bifidobacterium sp. CS2. RNAcentral's name for it is "bacterial SSU rRNA". It matches the Rfam family "Bacterial small subunit ribosomal RNA", at positions 8 to 521 of the family's 1533-position model. Lineage: Bacteria; Bacillati; Actinomycetota; Actinomycetes; Bifidobacteriales; Bifidobacteriaceae. The record is from RNAcentral.